AUAGAAAACAGAAACAGCUGACACUUAACAUAAAUGAAUAAUUGUAUGCCUUUUUUAGAGCACAGUUGUUUUCUUUAAAAAAAUUGAAGUUUAGCCUAUCAUCAUUUUUAACACAUCUUUCCACUACACCUAAGCUUUAAAUAAAAAUAUGAACUAUCAAGCUGUAGAAGAGUCUAAUUAGUUUCUCAUUGCAUUUUGGGUGUGCUCAGUUUGUAUGAAAAUGUUGUAGGUGAGGUCUCUGAUUACAGUAGUUCCUGUGUUUUGAUAACAUCAGGCAGGUGUUACAGGACUUGAAAAAUCAUGACUGAAUGGCUUUGUCCAGUCUCCUUUUUUGGUGAGUGACAGAGGUGGAGCCUGCCAUUCCUAAUCUCUUGUAUCAUAUUUCUGACAGGUAAUUGCAGACUGGUGCCUCUGGGAGCUCGCCCUGGUGCUGCCAGAAAGCACAGGUCUGGUUUGGAGAUAGUACAACCAAAUGUUAGAUAGAUGUAGAAGAAUUUGGGUACUAGAGGUUUCCAGCCCUGAGGAAUUAGGAGCCUCUGAACAUGUGUGUUCAUUUCCCAAAUCAUCAGCUGAGGGUCACCACUAUGUUUGCUGCUGGGUGACAUCCAACCUCCACCAGUGGAAAUGGAAAAACAACUAGACCUGUUUGGAAAGUGGGGAGGCAGUGCUGGGAAAUUUGAUGCAAGGAGAGGCAGCUCUCCUUGCCAUGGGGCUUUGAAGGCUGACUGUCCUCUUUGUGUUGGCUGUGCUGUUGAUGCAGCAUGGUUGUAACCUAACCCUCACCUGGCCAUUUCACAUGCAGGGUACACUUUCUUUGCUCCUUUUACAGCCAUUGAGUCCUUUUAACCUUCCUUCUCCCAUAGCAUGUCUGACCAGACCCAUCCCUCUUCCGUUUGUGUCCUCCCUCAGCAAGAUUAUGAGUAAUGGGAGCAGAUGCCAGAGAAACGUGCACCUUCUGAAUGAGUGAAAGGGGACAGGAAAAACUGCAUGCAAACUUUUCCUUUCAGUGCUUCCCAAACGUGUGGUCUCAGUUCAAUACAUUUGCCAGUCAGCUAAUCUAUUUCCCUCUAAAUUUGGUUGUCUUGGCAGAUUUUGUGGGGGAAAUAUUUAUUGGAAGUUUUUUGGUCACUGUAAACACAAUUUGAUUUAUUUUAUUGAAAAUGAGCAUUUUUCUCUGCAUGACUUACUUAGAACUUCAUACUGCUAAGUCUCAAAAAAAGAAUUUCAGUGAGUCACAAGUGCUGCAGGAUGGCAUGAUGCCCUUCACAGAAAUAACAACUACAGACACAUUGAAAAAAAAAAUAAAAUUAGAAUUUGAGAAUCUGAAGUUCUUUGCAAAAUCUGCAACACUUUUAUUAUCAGCACUGCUGAUAGUACAAAUGGGACUGAAGCAACAGAUAAGUGUUCUGGUCCAAUGAAUUCACCUACUGCUUAUGAUCCUUCCAGUCGUAUUUUUAACUGUUUUGGCAUUCCCCAUUAAAUCUCCCUAAACAGUCUUCUUGCUGGUUCAGUGCUCUCGACCAGGAAGCUUGUGAGUUUGUGAGGAUUUGUACUUGAUCAUGAAUGAUUCAUGAAAUGAGCUUAGAAAAGAAGUUUAACAUCUUAUUCAAUGCUGAGGAAAAAAAAGAGCAUCUUCUCCCAUACUCGUAACAACUUGGCUAAAAAGGAAGAGUCUCAAUGUCUCAUUUUAAACACUGAAAUUCAGAGCAUCUGUUGCCUUUCCAGCUAAACCUCCUCUCUACUAAGAAGCAAGAGAAAGCAUUUUAAUUUACUACUGUAGCUGGUUUUGUUUUUCAUUCUGCUCAUACAUUUGACCACAUCCCAGCAGCAGGCACAGCCAGGCUAUUGGGGCACAGCUGACAGCCGGGGGCUGCCCACGUUGUCAUUUCACACUCACAUUUAACCAUGUGUUAGAUUUUUCUCUAAAAGCUAUGUCUGAAAUCACUUGAUCUUGUUUUUAUUUGUUUGUAUAGAAUUUGACUGGUUCUGUAUGUUCCUCAGGACAACAGAAAGCUUAAGCCCCAAGGUGUUAUACUCUAGUGCCUCUCUUUCCUUCUCCUCUCCCUUGACCUCUCUGCGCACGGCGGGCAGAAGGGCCCCAUUUCCGAUGGAUAUCUAUGGCGCUCAUGGCCUGGGAACACACAGCAUUAUCUCCCUGCUGUGCAUAUUCCACACAUAUUCCAGACCAUGUCUGAGUCUUGGUGUUUGCACCAGUGAAGUGGGGAUAAUUGUGUUGCUUUGGUGUGCUGAUAAAAGUGCCUUGUGAGAGCUAAAUAUUUCUUUGUGGAACAUGCCAUGGCAUGUUUGGAAGCUUUGUAUAGCAAAGGGUAGGAAAACAGCAGAGACAGGGAUCUGAUGAAAAAAAAAUCAGGACAAAACAGAGAAGGAGGUCCAUGGUUAUUCCCGUGCUGUCCUUUGUCUUCUAUUCUAGAUCUUCAAGAGGAUAAGGAUUUUUUUCCAUUUCCUUUGCUGAAUGAAAAGACGACAACACAGCAUACAUCUAGGGACACCUGCUGAGAGAAUAAAACACAAUAAACAUGAGAAUGCUAUGGGAAACUUCCUGCUGAGACUUCACUUAGACCAACUGAUAUCUUCUCCCUGCCUGGAGAAAACCUUUGUCCUCCAGACUGAAGACAGGCACUUAAAAGUAAACCUGUUUGGUCUGCCCCUAUUAACCAGCAGUGCUGACAGAGAAAAUUGCUUUUCCCCUGUGUUCAGCACUUGAGAACCAUAGGAUUGAGACUGUUUUUUCAGACUGCUUUAUUUUUCGGCAUCAUCCAAUGGGACAGGCUGAGUCACUACUUGAUUCUCAUUUCUCUUCAUGUGAAGGUUUCAGCUCCCUUGGAUUGCCAUGAAUCCCAAGCAAUGAUCCUGGUUUUGUCCUGACAGCACUCCCCAUGUUUCCAUUGGACUUCAUGGACUGACAGUCAGAGAGACUUUUCCCCUGGCUCUGAGCUCCUCUCUCUGCUCGGGAUGAUGGGGGAAGGCUGCCCACAUGGCACCACCUGGGAGAUUUUAUAUUACUUUUUGUGCUGCUCUUCUCUCAACAGGGCAAGCCCUUGGGGCAGAUAAGGAUGUAUUAAGUGACUGAAAGACAUGCAAUUGUCUCCCAAAAGGUGUCACUUCAGUAUUGCUGCAGAUGAGAGGAAACUUUCUAUUUCUGUCCUUAGUCUGAAAUAAUUUUCAUUGGGAUUGCUGAAGGUCCUUCUUUGCUGAAUGGGACCUCUGUGUAAUGCUAAAAUAAAUAUUCUGUUUAAUGUUCUGUUUCCCAAUCCUUUGUCUUUCCUUCACCCAGGAUAACUGCCAGCAUGUUCAUGAGUUUUUCAUUUGAAUGAAAUUUUGCUCUAGCUGUGGGCAGAAUAUAGAAAAAAAUCAAUAGCUAUUAAGAUACCUGAUACUGCAGGAUAUGGGAUCCUACUGGUAGAAAAAGCAAGGACCAUUUAUUUAUUCACAUACCCGAGUGCCUUCAUUCAUAGUCUGACCUCACUGCCCAGGUCCUGCUCUUCCCCCAGGUUUUCAGUGGGGUUUUUUGUUGCCAAACGCUGAGCAGACAAUGUUUUGCCCAUCGCAUUCUGCUGUGUUCCACGCUUUUUUCUUGUGAAAGUGCCUUCAGGUAUCUUCCCAGGGCUCACAUUUAUUUGUUCAAGAACAAGUUAAGAAAGAAGAGUGACUGGAGGUUUUAAAACCCAUUUUCUUUUUAUCUAGCGUUCUGUUAAAGCUUUCCUCCUAAGCAGCUUACAAUAAUAUAAACAACCUGCAGAAAAAAACUUCCUGUCAAUCUACUGCUAUAAAUUCCUACAAGUCCAGGGGCGUCAGGAGCUGUAUAUUGCACCGAGAGCCUUUGGAGUGAGAGAUAACUAUCAGAUAAUUCACUCCUCUAGAAAACACUCCCCUAUAUUCAGAGUGAGGGGAGAGCAGGAAGGGGGAAGAUGGGAGGAGGUGUGCCCGGAGCAGGGCAGGAAUGGGCUCCGUGGUGUGUGGGGCGAGCACGGACACCAAGGGACACACGGGUGCGCCACCUGAGCAGGGGCUUGCCUCUGCCGGCGCCCCUGGCUGCUGCCUGACCGGGCUCCUUGGCUGUCCACCUUCACGUUGGCACAAAACAUACAUUUCUCUCUUCCAGCGUGUGUGGGUGCAGCCCCUGGGGCUGCUUUAGCACAGAGAGCAGCCAUGGCUCUGCGCUGCUUUGGCUGUGGAGGGGCUCAGGAAUAACGAGCAAAAUCUAAUUAAGAAGAGUGAAAUACAGUAGGGAACUCCUGAAGAUGCUUGGAAGAAUUUGUUGCAUUUCUGGCCCCAGAGGCUGUUAUGGAGAACACCAGAUGAAAUGAUUGUAAAGAGCCAGAGAACCUUUGAAAUGAUGUUGCUCAAAGAUUCCCCAGCAUUGUCACAAGCUAAGCAAAUAAGGGUAAGCUCAAAGGAUCCAUGAAAGGAUGAGGAGACCAGGAGAUGUGGCUAUAAAGGACAGAAGGAAAUGAGAAGAGACAUAAGCUGAUGGAAGGAAAAUAGCACAAGGGGCAGAACAAGUAGCAGGGACUCACUCACACCUCGUAGGCUGGCUUUGGGGUCAGACUGCUUUUGGGUACCGUCAGUCACCACCAUCUGGUCACUUUGCCUCUUAGUAACUGAACAAUGAAGGCUCAGAGAAAUGCCUGAUGGUGUAGGUUGUAGGGUUUGGGAAGUGAUGGAGCAGGCAAACAAAAAAUAACACUUGAUCUUCUCAUGUGCUAUCCUUUCUAACCACCACUAAGCAUUGUGGACAAACAAGUCAGCAGCCACACACUGUUAACAUUAGUUACUAAAAAGUUUUUUGGGGUUUUGUGCCUGUUCUCUCUGCACAUGCUAGGUUACCUUUGUGCAUUGUGUUCAAUAAAAAAGGACCAAAUUCUGGUUCCAGAAGCCGA
This is a non-coding RNA of Cyanistes caeruleus (blue tit), 4901 nucleotides long. Lineage: Eukaryota; Metazoa; Chordata; Aves; Passeriformes; Paridae. The record is from RefSeq and is a predicted model, not a curated record.